This 484-nucleotide ribosomal RNA is filed under the name uncultured bacterium. RNAcentral describes it as "partial 16S ribosomal RNA". It matches the Rfam family "Bacterial small subunit ribosomal RNA", at positions 30 to 507 of the family's 1533-position model. The record is from RNAcentral.
AUUGAACGCUGGCGGCAGGCCUAACACAUGCAAGUCGAGCGGAUGAAGGGAGCUUGCUCCUGGAUUCAGCGGCGGACGGGUGAGUAAUGCCUAGGAAUCUGCCUGGUAGUGGGGGAUAACGUCCGGAAACGGGCGCUAAUACCGCAUACGUCCUGAGGGAGAAAGUGGGGGAUCUUCGGACCUCACGCUAUCAGAUGAGCCUAGGUCGGAUUAGCUAGUUGGUGGGGUAAAGGCCUACCAAGGCGACGAUCCGUAACUGGUCUGAGAGGAUGAUCAGUCACACUGGAACUGAGACACGGUCCAGACUCCUACGGGAGGCAGCAGUGGGGAAUAUUGGACAAUGGGCGAAAUCCUGAUCCAGCCAUGCCGCGUGUGUGAAGAAGGUCUUCGGAUUGUAAAGCACUUUAAGUUGGGGGGAAGGGCAGUAAGUUAAUACCUUGCUGUUUUGACGUUACCAACAGAAUAAGCACCGGCUAACUUCGUG